Non-coding RNA from Oryctolagus cuniculus (rabbit), 480 nucleotides. Lineage: Eukaryota; Metazoa; Chordata; Mammalia; Lagomorpha; Leporidae. The record is from RefSeq and is a predicted model, not a curated record.
UCUGUCCAGGCACGAAGGCUCCACCAGGUUCUUCAACUUUUCCACUUCCGCUGAGAAGAGCAGCAAAGAGGCCGAGCACCGCUAUCGGGUGAACAACCUGAGUCUGCGAGAUGUGGCCGUCAGCGUGGACUUCUGGGCCCCCGUGCAGCUGAACGGAGCGGCUGUGUGGGACGUGGCGGUGGAGGCCCCAGGCCAGGUGCCCACCACGCCUCGCUGGCCAGGGCCCGGUCCCACAGCCCGCACACCCUGGCAGGGGCACCGUCCACGCUUGGGUGGCUGAGGAUUCACGUCUCUCUCCAGAGCCUGCCCUGUGCGCGGGAGAGGGAACCUCCGAGGACCUCUGACCUGAGCCGGGUCCCGGGGAGUCCCGUGCUGGACUGCGGCGUUGCGCACUGCCUGAGGUUCCGCUGCCACAUCCCCUCCUUCGGCGCCAAGGAGGAGCUCCACUUCACCCUGAAGGGCAACCUCAGCUUCGCCUGG